This 1048-nucleotide ribosomal RNA is filed under the name Staphylococcus aureus. Its description in RNAcentral is "partial 23S ribosomal RNA". It matches the Rfam family "Bacterial large subunit ribosomal RNA", at positions 1 to 1045 of the family's 2925-position model. Lineage: Bacteria; Bacillati; Bacillota; Bacilli; Caryophanales; Staphylococcaceae. The record is from RNAcentral.
GAUUAAGUUAUUAAGGGCGCACGGUGGAUGCCUUGGCACUAGAAGCCGAUGAAGGACGUUACUAACGACGAUAUGCUUUGGGGAGCUGUAAGUAAGCUUUGAUCCAGAGAUUUCCGAAUGGGGAAACCCAGCAUGAGUUAUGUCAUGUUAUCGAUAUGUGAAUACAUAGCAUAUCAGAAGGCACACCCGGAGAACUGAAACAUCUUAGUACCCGGAGGAAGAGAAAGAAAAUUCGAUUCCCUUAGUAGCGGCGAGCGAAACGGGAAGAGCCCAAACCAACAAGCUUGCUUGUUGGGGUUGUAGGACACUCUAUACGGAGUUACAAAGGACGACAUUAGACGAAUCAUCUGGAAAGAUGAAUCAAAGAAGGUAAUAAUCCUGUAGUCGAAAAUGUUGUCUCUCUUGAGUGGAUCCUGAGUACGACGGAGCACGUGAAAUUCCGUCGGAAUCUGGGAGGACCAUCUCCUAAGGCUAAAUACUCUCUAGUGACCGAUAGUGAACCAGUACCGUGAGGGAAAGGUGAAAAGCACCCCGGAAGGGGAGUGAAAUAGAACCUGAAACCGUGUGCUUACAAGUAGUCAGAGCCCGUUAAUGGGUGAUGGCGUGCCUUUUGUAGAAUGAACCGGCGAGUUACGAUUUGAUGCAAGGUUAAGCAGUAAAUGUGGAGCCGUAGCGAAAGCGAGUCUGAAUAGGGCGUUUAGUAUUUGGUCGUAGACCCGAAACCAGGUGAUCUACCCUUGGUCAGGUUGAAGUUCAGGUAACACUGAAUGGAGGACCGAACCGACUUACGUUGAAAAGUGAGCGGAUGAACUGAGGGUAGCGGAGAAAUUCCAAUCGAACCUGGAGAUAGCUGGUUCUCUCCGAAAUAGCUUUAGGGCUAGCCUCAAGUGAUGAUUAUUGGAGGUAGAGCACUGUUUGGACGAGGGGCCCCUCUCGGGUUACCGAAUUCAGACAAACUCCGAAUGCCAAUUAAUUUAACUUGGGAGUCAGAACAUGGGUGAUAAGGUCCGUGUUCGAAAGGGAAACAGCCCAGACCACCAGCUAAGGU